GUAUCAAAGUUGAAGGUCAUCGACAGAGAAAUCAUGGUUGCUCGAGACAAAAAUAAAGACAGAUCUUCAGAGGAAAUGGAGAGAAAAUUUUCUCACAUUCUGGAACAAUUGCAGAAGUUGAUAGAAAGUAGUGAAUAUGAAUGAUAGAAUUGUAUAGACAGAUAAGGAAUUAAUGACGAUCAGGCAAGCCCUAGGAAAUGCAAAACAAAAGGACAAAGAAAUGGAUCAGAAUAGAGCAAAAUCAUUUGUGCGUGGAGACAGAGCAAUACAACUGGGGAUCUCCAAAAUUCUAAUGGUAAAUUUCUUACCUGAUGUUCUAAACUUGAUUUUCUAAAUUUCCGGGGUCGGAUUUGAGAGUAUGGUUGUAUAAAGGUGGAUUGGUUUUUUGCCAUGGAUGAAGUUCCAUAUGAUCAGAGGGUGAGAGUAGUUUUUAUCCAUUUGGAUGUUGAAGUUAUUGCUUGGCAUAGAUCAUACUUGAAGUCUAGGAACUCAAUUGUAGAUCCUUCUUGGUCUGAGUAUGUGUUGGCUGUUAAUGAAAGAUAUGGGAGGAAUUUUAAGAUUCAAUGGAAGCUAUAAAAAAUCUACAAAAAACUGAGUAUAUUAGAACAUAUCAGGCUGAGUUUGAAAGGUUAUUGAAUGGGGUUAAUUUGUCAAACGAAAAUGCUAUCAGCUGUUUUCUGGGAGGGUUAAAAAUUGAGCUCAACAAAGUUGUUAGAAUGAAAGCACCCAAAACCUUAAUGCAAGCUUACAAGUUAGCUAAUUUGCAGGAAGAGGCUUGAUGCUCAAGAUAAGUCUUGGGGAAUUAGUAGAAACAACAGGGUUUAGACUGGUCUUCUUCCUACUCCAUCUAGGUUUCAGGAUGUACGAAAACCUAUUUUUUCUAGCACAAAUGUCAAAAAACCUUAUGAACCAAAUGCUAACAGAUUCAGUAAUGGUAAUACUGGUAGAAGGUUAUUGAUUGCUGCUCAGAUGGAUGACAAAAGGGCUAAAAGAAUAUGUUUCUUGUGUGAUGAGAAGUAUGUUCCUUGGCAUAUUUGUAAAUCCAAGAUACAAUUGUAUUUGGUUGAAGUUCUGGAAGAUGUUGAGGUAACCAUGGAGGAAGAAGUGUUAGAAGUGGAUGAGUGCAUGACAAUUUCUUUACAAGCAUUUACUGAAAGUACAGGUUAUCAAACAAUUAGAGUAAAUGGAUACCAUGAAAAAAAAAUUAUAGGUGCUUAUUGACACAUGUAGUACUCAUAAUUUCAUUGAUGAGUCAAUGGCAAGAAAGUUAGGUCGUAAAGCUUUGCCUAUAUACAUGAACAAUCAGUAAGUGUGGCUGAUGGUAGAAGGAUGUAAAUUACUGCUGUAUGUAAGAACUUAAGUGGUUACUGCAGGGUACAACUUUUUCUUCUGAUUUCCUACUACUAUCAUUGGGAAAUGUUCAUAUAGUAUUGCGUGUGCGGUGUUUAAAUACUGCAGGAAGGAUUCUGUUUGACUUCACAAAUAGUACUAUUGAGUUUGUACUUGGGAAGAAAACUUGUCUUAAGGGGAUCCAGUAGCCAAAUCAAGACCACCAAGGCCAAAUCCUUGAACAAAAAGAGUGAUGAAUCAGUUCAGGUCUUCAUGCUUACCUUAGUGACUGAUGCAGCCUCCGUUUGGCAAUGCAACAGUAUACAACUAAAUCAAGGUACUGAUAUUCAUCCUACCUUAACUGUUUUAAUGGAACUGUACAAAUGCAUCUUUGAUAUGCCUACUACAUUUCCCCCUCUUAGAGGCAUCUUUGAUCACAACAUACCACUCAAUGACUCAGCUACUCCUGUUAACAAAAGACCUUAUAGAUAUCUAGGAAUGAAGAAAGAUAUUAUUAGAAGCUAGUAUAGGAAAUGCUAGAUCAAGGUGUGAUACAACCUAAUUCUAGUCCCUAUGCAUCCCCUGUAGUCCUUGUUGGGAAGAAAGAUGGGAGUUGGAGGCUUUGUGUAGACUAUAGAGAUCUGAACAAAUUCACAGUAAAGGAUAAGUUCGUAUUCCUAUCAUUGACGAUUUGUUAGAACUAGGAGGUGAUGAAGUGUUUUCUAAGAUUGAUCUUAGAGUUGGUUACCACCAAUUGAGAAUGAAGGAAACAAAUACAUAUAAGACAACUUUAAAAACUCAUGAAGGACACUACGAAUUUCUGUUUAUGCCAUUUGGUCUUUAUGAAUGCACUUUCUUCAUUUUAGUCUUAUUUAUCUUGUAUUCAAACCACUGCUUAGGAGUUCAGCACUGGUUAUUUUUUAUGAUAUAUUGGUGUACAGCAAGGAUAUGCCAACUCAUGUGAACCAUUCACAAGCUUUGUUUGAUUUAAUGAAGCAACAUCAGUUGUUUUCCAACGGUUCUAAGUGUGCUUUAGAAGUACCUGAGGUAGAGUAACUAGGUCAUUUCAUCAGUGCAAAAGGGGUAGCUAUUAAUCCUACAAAGAUUUCUGCAAUACAGGCUUGGUUUAACAGGAUGUUAUCUGAGGUUCAUUCUGAAUUUUAAAUCCAUUGCUAAACCUCUCAAUUAAUUAUUAGAGCAGGAUAAGUUUGUGUGUAAUGAGGGUGCCACUACAACUUUUCAUGUUCUCAAAGAUGCACUGGUGACUGCAGCUGUCUUAGCAUUACUAGACUAUGAUAAACAAUUCAUAAUUGAAUGAUGCAAGUGGUUCAGGAAUUGGUGUUGUCUUAAUGCAACAAGGGAAUCCAAUUGCCUAUAUUAGUAAGUCAUUAGCACCUAGACAUCAGGCUAUGCAUGUAUAUGAUACAGAGAUGUUAGCCAUUUACUAAGUGGUGUGAUUAUCUGUUAGGAAGGCAUUUCACGGUGAGAACUGAUCAAAAUGCACUAAAACACCUCCAUGAACAAAGUAUUCACACUGAUUUUCAGAUUGCUCGUUUUUCGAAAUUGAUGGCCUUUGAUUUCACUAUUGAGUUCAAUGAAGGGACGGAAAAUAAGGCUACUGAUGAUUUGUCAAGAAAUCAAAGUGCUGAAGUUGUUGGCAAUUUCACUCCUAACUCCUAAUGAUACACUUUUGGAGAGAAGUAGCCUAACAUGGACAGCUGAUGCCGAGUUGCAAGCUGUUAUUGUUAAGUUGCAAGCAAGGCCUAUAAAUUCUAUAUACCUAGAUUGGUUCUCAGCUAAGGUGGGAAGGCAGGGUAGUAGUAGGGUCUGAUUUGCAGUUAAGAUAGACCAUUAUUCAGUUGUGGCAUUCAACACCACAAGCUGGUCAUGAAGGCAUGGAUGCAACUAUUAAGAGGCUGCAAUCCUUUUUUUACUGGAAGUCAUUAGCAGCUGACAUUAGAACUUUUAUUUAGAAAUGUGAUAUCUGUCAAAGUCAUAAGUAUGAUGCAGCAGCUUACCCUGGACUACUUCAACCAUUACCUAUUCCUAAUGGUGUUUGGAUUGAUAUCAGUUUAGAUUUCAUUGAAGGUCUCUCUAAAUCGAAAGGGAAGGAUGUCAUAUUGGUAGUGGUGGAUAGACUUUGUAAGUCUGGUCAUUUCAUUGCUAUUGCACACCCUUACACUGCUGAUUCUGUAGCUCAAUGUUUUUUGGACAAUGUUUUCAAAUUGCAUGGGAUGACAACUCCUAUAAUAAGCGACAUGGACCUCACUUUCUAGAGUUCUUUUUGGCAAUAGUUAUUUACAUUACAAGGGGUCUUACUACAUAAAUCGAGGUGAAUCAAUGUGAAAGUUGCAUAAUGGAAAAACAACAUAGAAAGUCUUUUCCUAAAGGGAUGUCUUGGAGAGCAAAUGUACGUUCGAAACUAAUUCAUGUCGACAUUCGCGGACCAAUGAAGACUCCAUCACUUGAAAGUCAAAGGUACUUUAUAAUAUUUAUUGAUGAUUUUUCAAGAAUGACUUAGGAUUAUUUUAAAAGAAAAGUCAGAACCAUUUGCUACAUUCAGAAAAUUUAAAGCCCUUGUUGAGAAGCAAAAAGUUUGCAGCAUCAAGACCAUUCGCAAUGAUAGAGGAGGUGAAUACACAAGUCAAGAAUUUAAAGAAUACUGCAAAAAUGAAGGCAUUCAGAAGCAACUUACAACAGAAGCAGUACAUACAGCGGUGUAAAUCCUCAACAGGUGCCGACAAAGACAUUGAAGGACAAGACACCAGUUGAAGCUUGGAGUGGAAUGAAAACUUUUGUAUGUCAUUUUAAAAUUUUUGAGUGUAUCUGUUAUGCUCAUAUACCUGGUGAGAAAAAAAAAAUUGUGAAUUUUUUUUAAAAAUGUAUAUUUCUUUGUUAUAAUUAUGUAACAAAAGGUUAUAGGCU
This is a long non-coding RNA of Solanum lycopersicum (tomato), 4254 nucleotides long. RefSeq lists it as uncharacterized. NCBI's taxonomy places the organism in Eukaryota, Viridiplantae, Streptophyta, Magnoliopsida, Solanales, Solanaceae. The record is from RefSeq and is a predicted model, not a curated record.